AUCAAGCUGAAGAGUCGUAAAUAGGACGAAAGGUGUGUCCUAGAU
Molecule: non-coding RNA, 45 nt
Filed under: Schistosoma margrebowiei
Lineage: Eukaryota; Metazoa; Platyhelminthes; Trematoda; Strigeidida; Schistosomatidae
Source: RNAcentral